CAACAUCGUCAGACCCAUGAGCCCUUUGACUUGAAUCAGAUCCCGGUAAUCUUUUACUAGAGUUUGCGAAAAUAAAGAUGCAAUUUACAGAGAUUCACUAACCGGAACCCGAACCGAACCCGAAGAAACCCGAUGGAUUCGGGUUUGGGUUUAGUGAUUUGGAUUUUUCCGGGUUUGGGUUCGGGUUCGGGUUUGACAAAGAAAAUCGGGUUCGGGUUUUUGCUAAACCUGUUUCAACCGACCCGAUUGCCAUCCCUACACACGAAUCUCCUGCCAAAUCUUUCCCGCCAUAAAUAACAGUGUAGUAGUAUCUUUUUCUCUCCCACAGAGUUUCAGAGAGAGAGAGAGAGAGAUUGAAGAUGUCAGGUUGGGAUGAAGGAGCCGUGUACUACAGCGAACAAGCUCAGUUCCCCCGUGGCGCCGGAGACCCCGAACAGGCUGCCAGUCGCCACACGGUGCUCCGAAAGUCGAAGGAGUUUAUUCGAAACCUCGCGCUCAAAAUCAACCAAAUGUGUUCCCCUACAGAGAAAGCUUGGUCCAAAACCCUAAAUAUCUUCUCGUCAAUCUCUCCGAUCUCCUCAAUUAGGACAAAGACCAGGAUUUUCGCGAUUUGCUUCGAAAAAACCCUGCCAUUUUUAAAUGAUUUGAGUCGAUGAUUUAGUUAUGAUAUGAGUUGGGGGAUUUUGUGAAAUAUGUUUAGUUUGAAACCGCUGCUGCGGAAGCUCUGCCAAGUUUGAGGUCUAGAGUAUCAGGGGAGAGUGGUGAAAUGGAGGAACCUGAGACUGAGGAGGUGCAGAUUUUUUUGACAUCGAAGCAGGAUCCAGUUUCAAUGCGUUUACUAGGGAUUCGUUUUAUGCCCGUACUGUUUCAUUAGUAAUUGAUUUUUAUUGUUUAUAGAUGUUGUGUUCUGUUUCUUAUGGUUGUACUUUAUGUCUAAUGAUAGGUACAAUAUAUAUCCAAAUUAGUAAAGAUAUCGGGGAUCACUAUUGCUGCAUCAAGGACCAAGGCAGGGGCAACUUAUGUUACAUUUUUGUGUAAGAACUGUAAAUGUAAAAGUUAUUCCAUGUCGUCCAGGGCUAGGAGGGGCGAUUGUGCUACAUUCAUGCGACCAUGUGCCACAGGCUGGAGAAGAACCUUGCCCCAUUGAUCCCUGGAUUGUGGUUCCAGAUAAAAGCAAGUAUGUUGAUUAGCAGACCUUAAAGUUACAAGAAAAUCCUGAGGAUACGAGGCGACAAGCAAAUGAAAAUGGAGAAACUGCAGCGGUUCCAAUAACUGUGAGACAGUUGAAAGCUAUAGUGAGGUUGAGCGAGGCACUUGCGAAGAUGCAACUGUCCUAUGUUGCAAGCGAUAACUAUGUCAUGGAAGCUAUCAGAUUAUUCAACAAUGCUACAAUGGAUAUAGCAAAAUCAGGAAUCAAUCAGCAGAUAAAUCUUACUCCUGAGAUGGCAAAUGACAUAAGAUAGCAAAAACUCAGAUAAACAGAAGAAUGGGAAUUGCAAGCCAUAUAUCAGAAAGAAGACUAAUCGAUGAGCUUUCCAGAAUGGGCUUGGAUGAAUCUAUUGUAAGAAGAGCUCUGUUAAUCAUGCAUCAAAGAGAUGAAGUUGAGUACGAGAGAGAAAGAAGAGUUAUUCUCCGAAAAGCUUAAUGUACGACCCUAAGAUCAAGCUUCAACGCAACAUUUUGCUUUCACAUUGUAUAGUGUCUACUAUUGUAUCAUACUUUCAGCGCAACAUUUUGCUUUCACAUUGUAUAGUGUCUACUAUUGUAUCAUACUUUCAGCGCAACAUUUUGCUUUCACAUUGUAUAGUGUCUACCAUUCUAUCAUACUCAGUAAAUAAUGAUGCAGUUUGACGGUAUAGUGUUCAAUUUAUG
Molecule: long non-coding RNA, 1872 nt
Organism: Daucus carota subsp. sativus
Lineage: Eukaryota; Viridiplantae; Streptophyta; Magnoliopsida; Apiales; Apiaceae
Exons: 7
Source: RefSeq, a predicted model, not a curated record